RNAcentral lists this ribosomal RNA (433 nucleotides) under uncultured bacterium. Its description in RNAcentral is "partial 16S ribosomal RNA". It matches the Rfam family "Bacterial small subunit ribosomal RNA", at positions 29 to 507 of the family's 1533-position model. The record is from RNAcentral.
AACGAACGCUGGCGGCAUGCCUAACACAUGCAAGUCGAACGAGACCUCCGGGACAAGUGGCGCACGGGUGCGUAACGCGUGGGAAUCUGCCCUUAGGUUCGGAAUAACUGCCCGAAAGGGGUGCUAAUACCGGAUAAUGCCUUCGGAGAAAAGAUUUAUCGCCUUUGGAUGGGCCCGCGUUGGAUUAGCUAAUUGGUAGGGUAAAAGCCUACCAAGGCGACGAUCCAUAGCUGGUCUGAGAGGAUGAUCAGCCACACUGGGACUGAGACACGGCCCAGACUCCUACGGGAGGCACCAGUGGCGGAUCUUGCACGCUCGACGAAAGCCUGAUGGACCAAUGCCGCUUGAGUGCUGAAGGCCUUAGGGUUGUGAAGCUCUUUUACCCGCGAUGAUAAUGACGGUACCGGGAGAAUAAGCUCCGGCUAACUCCGUG